RNAcentral lists this ribosomal RNA (426 nucleotides) under uncultured bacterium. Its description in RNAcentral is "partial 16S ribosomal RNA". It matches the Rfam family "Bacterial small subunit ribosomal RNA", at positions 354 to 796 of the family's 1533-position model. The record is from RNAcentral.
GUGGGGAAUAUUGGGCAAUGGGCGAAAGCCUGACCCAGCAACGCCGCGUGAAGGAAGAAGGUCUUCGGAUCGUAAACUUCUAUCCUUGGUGAAGAUAAUGACGGUAGCCGAGAAGGAAGCCCCGGCUAACUACGUGCCAGCAGCCGCGGUAAUACGUAGGGGGCAAGCGUUGUCCGGAAUGAUUGGGCGUAAAGGGCGCGUAGGCGGCCUGGUAAGUCUGGAGUGAAAGUCCUGCUUUUAAGGUGGGAAUUGCUUUGGAUACUGUCGGGCUUGAGUGCAGGAGAGGUAAGUGGAAUUCCCGGUGUAGCGGUGAAAUGCGUAGAGAUCGGGCGGAACACCAGUGGCGAAGGCGACUUACUGGACUGUAACUGACGCUGAGGCGCGAAAGUGUGGGGAGCAAACAGGAUUAGAAACCCGUGGUAGUCA